Molecule: ribosomal RNA, 497 nt
Filed under: uncultured bacterium
Lineage: Bacteria
Description: partial 16S ribosomal RNA
Rfam family: Bacterial small subunit ribosomal RNA
Source: RNAcentral
GAUGAACGCUGGCGGCGUGCCUAAUACAUGCAAGUCGAGCGAACAGACGAGGAUCGUGCCCUUCUGACGUUAGCGGCGGACGGGUGAGUAACACGUGGCUAACCUACCUAUAGGACUGGGGUAACUUCGGGAACCCGAAGCUAAUACCCGUUCAUCUAUUGAACCGGAUGGAUCAUUAGUCAUAGCCGGUUCUGCUGACACUAAUAGAUGGUACCGGGUCGCAUUAGCUAGUUGGUAAGGUAACGGCUUACCAAGGCAACGAUGCGUAGCUGACCUGAGAGGGUGAUCGGCCACACUGGAACUGAGACACGGUCCAGACUCCUACGGGAGGCAGCAGUAGGGAAUAUUCGACAAUGGGCGAAAGCCUGACGGAGCAACGCCGCGUGUGUGAUGAAGGUCUUCGGAUCGUAAAGCACUGUUAUUUGGGAAGAAGAAAAGUAUAAUUAAACCUGCACGUCCUGACGGUACCUAAAGAGAAAGCCACGGCUAACUACGUG